GAUGAACGCUGGCGGUAGGCUUAACACAUGCAAGUCGAGCGGAAACGAUGAUAGCUUGCUAUCAGGCGUCGAGCGGCGGACGGGUGAGUAAUGCUUGGGAAUAUGUCCUUUUGGGUGGGGGACAACAGUUGGAAACGACUGCUAAUACCGCAUAAUGUCUGAGGACCAAAGGCGGGGGACCUUCGGGCCUCGUGCCAAAAGAUUAGCCCAAGUGAGAUUAGCUAGUUGGUGGGGUAAAGGCCUACCAAGGCGACGAUCUCUAGCUGGUUUGAGAGGAUGAUC
RNAcentral lists this ribosomal RNA (282 nucleotides) under uncultured Gammaproteobacteria bacterium. RNAcentral describes it as "partial 16S ribosomal RNA". It matches the Rfam family "Bacterial small subunit ribosomal RNA", at positions 28 to 305 of the family's 1533-position model. The record is from RNAcentral. Lineage: Bacteria; Pseudomonadati; Pseudomonadota; Gammaproteobacteria.